CCGCGCCCGCUGCUUGAGGGUUAAGGCCCUCUUGCCUGUGCGCCAAAUCUGGUCGAGCCGCUGACCUCUGGGUCACCGCCAUGCGCACAAUAGAAACCGCCGGUCUAAAGCGUCCGCGUAGGUCUCGCGCAGUUUCCAAGCUGAUCGGCACUGCCUUCGGUUUGGCGAUGUAGAUAGCUCGACAGGUCG
Molecule: non-coding RNA, 189 nt
Organism: Pseudomonas sp. 1 R 17
Lineage: Bacteria; Pseudomonadati; Pseudomonadota; Gammaproteobacteria; Pseudomonadales; Pseudomonadaceae
Source: Rfam